CGUGCACAGGGCUCUGACCUAUGAAUUGACAGCCAGUGCUCAUCUCUCCUCUGGCUGCCAAUUCCAUAGGUCACAGGUAUGUUCACC
Molecule: microRNA precursor, 87 nt
Filed under: Mus pahari (shrew mouse)
Lineage: Eukaryota; Metazoa; Chordata; Mammalia; Rodentia; Muridae
Description: microRNA 192 (MGP_PahariEiJ_G0006610.1)
Rfam family: mir-192/215 microRNA precursor family (bases 6-82)
About the family: This family represents the human microRNA (miRNA) precursors mir-192 and mir-215.
Source: RNAcentral